CCACACGUAUCCAUCCCGAACACGACCGUUAAGCCCUCUAGCGCCGAUGGUACUUGGACCGCAGGGUCCUGGGAGAGUAGGACGCCGCCAAGC
Molecule: ribosomal RNA, 93 nt
Filed under: Paenibacillus sp. OK003
Lineage: Bacteria; Bacillati; Bacillota; Bacilli; Caryophanales; Paenibacillaceae
Source: RNAcentral